UACCGCUACCUUGUUACGACUUCGCCCCAGUCACUGAUUUGACCUUCGACGGCUGCCUCCUUGCGGUUAGCUCACCGGCUUCGGGUCCCCCCAGCUUCCAUGGCGUGACGGGCGGCGUGUACAAGGCCCGGGAACGUAUUCACCGUGGCGUAGCUGAUCCACGAUUACUAGCGAUUCCAACUUCAUGCAUUCGAGUUUCAGACUGCAAUCCGAACUUAGACCGGCUUUUUGCGAUUAGCAGACUCUCGCGAGCUAGCGACGCUCUGUACCGGCCAUUGUAUCACGUGUGUAACCCUGGGCGUAAGGGCCAUGCUGACUUGACGUCAUCCCCGCCUUCCUCCGGUUUGACACCGGAAGUCCCCCUAGAGUCCCCGGCCGAACCGCUGGCAACUAGGAGCGAGGAUUGCACUCGUUGCCGGACUUAACCCAACAUCUCACAACACAAGCUGACGACAGCCAUGCAACACCUGUGUACGGACUCGGAACAGGGGCCUAUGUUUCUACCGGCUUUCCCGCACAUGUCAAGCCCAGGUAAGGUUCUUCGCGUUGCAUCGAAUUAAACCACAUGCUCCACCGCUUGUGCGGGCCCCCGUCAAUUCCUUUGAGUUUCAGCCCUGCGGCCGGACUCCUCAGGGCGGGGUACUUACUG
This 649-nucleotide ribosomal RNA is filed under the name uncultured bacterium. RNAcentral's name for it is "partial 16S ribosomal RNA". The record is from RNAcentral.